UUCCAUCUCGGGAGUUCUGAUGACUCGAGCUUGGUUCUUGUGGUUUAUGAUGUCACCGGGACCCAUCGAUGGAGUCGUAGCCCCAUAAUUCACCGUUGCCCUGUUAUUUAUUCUGUGCAAUAAAUGGCUGCAGUUUAAUCACCAGAGUAAAUUGCUGAAGCAUCUUUGUGGAAACUAUAAUGUUACUGUAGCAGUAUCUAUGGCAACAGGGAUUCAGUAGUGGUGGCUAAUGCAGACAGACCAGGAGCGCUGUUAGCCCCGUGCACGCAGCAAGCAGGGCGUGUGUACCGGCCUCAGGGGGAUGAGAACCUGAGGGCCAGAUCUGGAUGUACCGUAAGAGGAGAAAAAUCCGUUAACUGCUGGACAGCUACCUGUGGUGCAGCGUAAGGGGGGCUCAGCUCUGGUUCCAAUGAUUUGCUCGAGUGCCGCAUUCAUUGGAAUGAGAAAGGUGGGGAGGAACACGUAUCCAAUUCAAGAUGAGAGAAAUUCUAUUCUGGCAAUGAGUUUCUUUCUCUGUUAAAUAUAAAGUGAACUUAAACAAUUAGCUUGGACUGAAUCCCUACCUUUUCGAGGCUUAAAAUUAUGGGGUGUGACUUCCCCCUCGUUCUCUUCUCCCUGCUCCCAUGCUGGCUCUCAUUUCCAUAUGCAGCCUAAUUCUACAGGCAGGAGAAAUUCAGCAUUGCUCACAGAAUUUGUAUUGGUGGCAUAGAAUCGACGCCUUUCACUCCAGCUUGCCCAGGCUGGCUCCAUGCUUAUCCAGAGUUGUGGCAAUACAGCUUUUGGCUGUGAGCUGGCCAUUUCUGCCUAGCCUUGCUGGAGUAAGCCCAACAUAUGGGUUCUUGGGCAUUGUCCAAACUGCCUGUGUUGACUUUGGAGAGUGCAUGUUUUGCCAUCCUGGCUACAGUGCAAGGAAAAUUGAUGUGCAGUGUAGCAGUGCCAGUGUCAGCUGUGACAUAUUUAAGGGUGACCUUAAUUAGAAUUUUUUUGUUGUUUUACACCCUACACAGCUGCUUCUGUUGUAUGGGUCCUUCUGCAUGUAUGAUGCUCGCAUGCUCACCGCAUGAGUCACCCUGCAGCAGGGCUGCCUCAGACUCAUGUCUGGGGCAUGGAUUUCAAAAGCACUCAAGUGACCAAACUUAAUGAUUUUCAGCUGACUUCUAGUAUUGUCCUAAACAUGGAAUUCUUACCCAUAAACCACAGUGCUGCCCACGCUCUCCCCCCUCUUUCCCAGGCUCCGUCGUGUGCAUGGCGGCACGUUCUUCUCUGCUGACCCUGCUGCAAGGUAAGAGUGCUCUGGCAGGCAGGUAGGGUGGGGAGCUGUGGGCAGGAGGAUUCACCAGAGGAGUUUGGGGGCUCUCUUGCACGUGCUUGCAUACAUUAUCUCAAAACAUACACGGGCAUUUGCACCUGUAUGUAUUCUUCCACUGUAGAAGCUGUUGUGUCGUUAAGCAGAUAUUCCUCCUUAGAGGUGGCUUCGUUUCUGUGAUGGAAGGAAAUGAUUUGCUAAGCUCUGUUAAACUCCUUCAUUACACCAGACAAAGUGGGAGAAAAAAGGUAUUUAAAAUAUUUUGGUGACAAAUUAUAUUUUGAGUGCUCAAUUCCAGCAACAGAAAAAUAUGUGAAAUGUAACCAAAGAGAUUGCCUCAUUCGUGGACUUGGUAAAGUAGGACACCCGUGUUCCCUCUGUCCUAUUGUUGCCUGGGAUGUCAGAAGAAGACAAGAUUUAUAAGAACUUGAGUUCUUAGGGGAACUUCUCACCCAGUAGCUCCCUGGGGCUUCAGCUAAACUGUGGGAUAUUCGGCGUUUCCCAACUCUUGCGUUGAAGACUGUCUCCUCUCUUCCCAGCUGCGAGAUGUGGCUGCGCACCAUUUCUGUUUGCUCCCCUCCCACGCUCUGGUUUCCGUAGGAAGGAAUCCUGGGCAUGUGAGUCAGGGAGCUGUAGCGUGCUCUGGUCGUGUCACCAGUCUGAAUGAUUCAGGGCUGAGACCGCACGACACACCUACCCCGUGAUUUGCAUAUAGCCCUUGGGACGCUCAAAGCCACAUUUUCCCAACACGCCAAGUUCUUGAGAAAAUGCAACCACUUGUUUUGGUGCAUAAAUAUAAACUUAACCCUUAAGAGCAGAAAUCACAUCUAUGACCAGGUGCACCAGGGAAGAGAAUCUGCUGCCCCCCUCUCCCCCCCCCCCCAGCAAUUCCCAUACGUGCAGAUAUCAUUUGGGGAGCGUGGUGUCCCUUCUGGCUGUGUGCUGUGCUGUUUGCACCACGUUCUCUCAGCUUCUGUUUCUCUCUCUCCUCCUGCUUUUUCCCCCUGUGUGAGAGCACUGGCGCCUACGAUGGAAGGUCGUCAGUGAGGUUACUCAACUGGCUCCAAGUAUUAAGACUUCCUGCUCUGCUACGAUGAGCUGCCAAGCCCCCGCUCCCCGCUGCUCACCACAGACCCAGUGUCUGCCUCCCUACUCUUCUCAUCCCCCUCCCUACCAAUUCAGAAAGCCAGAUGCCCAUACAGCACACAGAGCGGGAGGGGAGGCACCCAAGCUACUUUCAGAUGCAUUUGUGUGAGUGCUGAAAGCAGUUGGGCCCCUGGGUGAUGUUGUCAGUGUUGCUUAUCGAUGUGCGUGUCCCUGGGGCCAGGUGAGCCAUCUCAGGGUGCGUGGGCGAUGCCCCUCCAGAGUCUGCAGCAGGUUCCUGGGAGGGUCUGGCCCAGCAGUAAGGCUUUUAUUCCCAUUGGGAUAAGUUAUCAGGUUUUUCAACAUGAUCCUGGCCUGGAUAACAGGGAAGGGGUUUGUAAAAAGUAGCUAAGGAGAGCAUGGUUUCUGUCCGUAGGUGUGAAUUGGCUGCACAAGGACCUGUGACUUCCUUACAAAAUGCUGGGGGGGUACAGAUUGAAAAGAGUUAAAACCCUCUGCCCUAGCCAUGAACCUGGGGAAAGACAAGAACUCUCCUGUGGCAAAUGAAGUGAAACAUCCCCAAAGGAUGAUGCAGCGAUGGGUGAGCAGCUGUGGAGCAAGGGGAGAGAAGCAGCACCCUGGGGAUUGCCUUUAAGUGUGGGGCUGCACCCAAAGGUACAGGAGAUGGAGAGAGCUUUAUUUACAGGAAUGGAGCAUGCACCAGAAGAGAAGGAACAGGAUCCUGGGAGAAGAGGAAGAGAGAAAUAUGGUGGGAAGGGGGGAAAUGGGAUGAUUGAUAGCUAUUUUUGUAAAAUCCACGGGGGGUGGGGGGGGGAUACUGCUCCAAAAAGCACCAUAGAAAACAACCACGUCCAAGUGAAAAUACAAUUUUCUUUAGGAAUAAUAGACAAGCCCUACCUACUAAUUGUUCAACAGGAUGAGGAAAAACUGCUUGCUCCACCCUCGUAGGAGCUGAGGUGAGGUUAAAGCCACAGCUCCCUGGGAGAAGGCUCCAGCACUGCACACCCUGCUCUGGGCUACAGUAGCGUAGUGGCACCCAGCCGUCUGCCUCCUGGCUCCCCUUCUGGGCAGUAUGGGGGGCUCAGGUUUGCGAGGAUCCUGCUCUCAAACCAGGGCAGAAGCAGCUGCUUUAGAGGAACUGAUUUUAGUUCUGCAGCCGUGGCAGCAUCCCUUUAACUCCGUCUCUGCUCACAACUCCCUUUCUUAAAGAUCAUGUUGGAGACUUCCUACUCCUGUGCCAGGCUGCUGGAGCACCAGCCAGAAGCUCUUUGUCUUCUUCUGGGACCUCUAAGGCUGCAGUAAACACACCUUGAGUUCUUCAUGAACACCCCAUCCGGGUUUGGCCCACUCUCUGCUAGGUUAUGCUAAACUGAGACCACAGAGACCUCAUUUCAUUACUUCAUUUGUGUAGGUGUAAAGUUAUUUGAGUUCUCUGCAAACAUGGGUAUUCAUUCAUUUAGAUUUGUUAAUUUUCUGUAAGAUGAGAGAGCCAGUCAGAAAGCCAAAGCCUCACUAUUAAACAUUCAAGUGUGCUUAAAAACAAUAAUUAAAAAACAUAAAUCUUAAAUUAACUGAUUUGUAAUUAUGGUUUUGGUGUUCAUCUUUCAGGGUGUUGCCACCAGCACGUUAGCAGAUUUUUGUUCUGGGGACUUGUAGCCAGACAUCAACAAUGAAAAGAUGAGAAAAGCACUGAAAUAGGAGAGGGGUGCCAACAGUAAGCUCUGUUGUGUCACAGGAACUGGGGGUAGCUAUUACCUUAUUUCACUGCACCAUAACUUAGCUGCUCGUUUAGUUAGUGUCACUUUGUAGGGAUGCAUUGCUCUGGGUAAGGGGUAAAGUGAGGCAAAUGGGAUGGGAGAAGGUUAUAGAUGUGAACUACAGGGAUGUCCUCACUUUUUCAGGGGGUAGAAAAUCAGAUGGAGUGUAUUUGCUCUUGCGCUGUGGCCAUGAGCAACAAAGGAAAAGAGCAGGGGAUUUAUCUAGCUACAGUCUAAUAUUCUUUUGGCUGCAGCAAAGGCUGCAGCACUUCCCGACUAUCGGCUGGUGCUUUCACUCACACACAUCUGUGAUUGAUGGGCAGAGAGUAUAAACACCUCAUUAGUGCUAUAAUUCACUGGUUAGGGCUCAGACUGUGCUGUGGGAGGGAGGAAAAAAGAGUUGAGAAAGUUUAAUAAAGAAAAAAAAAAAUGGAAGAAGGAAAAGAACGGAUGUAAAGGCCACACAAAUCAUUCCAGGGAGUUAUCUGACCUGCUUUGAAAACUUUAAUUGCUGAUAAUGGACAACCUGUUGGGUGGUAUUUUAUUAACACUAAUAGAUUUUUACGGGAUAUUUCUCACAUUGCUCUCCCAGAGCCUGAGGAAUACAUUAAAUAUUAAAAGUUAAUGCUCUUGGUUGCAGUUUCAAGGAUGCCCUGCUGAUAACGAGCUUUCCCGCAAGUUAGAAACCAGGAGAAAACAUGAGCUGCUUUUGCCAUUUACGGCCUCUGCAAUAAUAAUGAGGAAAAUACUUGAAUCUUGUGUGCACCUUGCAGCUGAGGUUCUCAAAAGUCCAUCCUAAAUGCUAUGUAAUGAAAGUGCUCAGCCCAGAGAUAGUGGGUGUACCUAAUCUUCAGUCAUGGCUGUGCAAGAGCUGAGUUCCCAAGUCCCACGCUGAAAUCAAAUGCUUCUAAACCCCCAUGUGCUCCUUUACAUUUCAGUUAUUCAAAGCAGAGGCCUGAACCAACAACUCAUACCUGUUUCUCAAGAGAGCUUAUGUCUGAAAUGGACGUGCUAUCAUAUUUUUCUUUAAUAUGCCUAAUGGUUUUAUAAAAGUGUUGCUUUCAGGCUGUUUUUUUUUGAAACAGAAAUGACCCAGCUACCUGGAACAGAAACCUCAGAGUCUCAGGAAGCAGCUGCAGAAGCCUCUGAGAAUGUGGGCAGCAAGGGGUUUUCUGGAAGGUGCUCUCAGCAUCCCCAAGUCCUACGCACAGCGGAGAACCCUCCAAGUAUGGAGAAAAAGGCCAGUUCCGUACUGUAAAGACAUGGAUUCGAGCAGCCAAAGAAGGAGAAGAAAUGAAUGCCAACAUACUUUCCCUCCAGCAAACUGAAGGGAGAGUAAAUUUGAAGCUGAGUGUGAACAGUAACCAGCUCAUGUGGGGAGACACCAACUUGUCAAAUGGAAGGAGGCCCUUUGAAGUGUGGAGAUAAGGACCUUUCUAGCCUUCAGUCAUAUCUGAAAGCCAUUUUCAGCCCAGCAGAGGAACGUGUCAUUCAGCUGGAUUGGGUUUGCCUAUGUUGUACAGAGGAAUGGACAAGCGGAGUUGGUGCAGAUUCCCCUGUCUGGUUGGCAUCGGCAGCUGGAUUAUCAAGAUGUCUUGACAAAGUACUUCUGCACAGUAUUUUUCAUGUAAUCAAAAGCUGUUAGCACUGAAAUAUCUUCCCCAGAAAGGAUUCUCCUGAGCUGCACACCGUGACUGCUGCCUUGACGUUCUCCCGAGCUGACAUCCCGACCGGUAUGACACUGAUGCCUUUGGGCAGAAAUCAGAGCCGGUUUGCUCCAUGCCUCUGCGUAGCCACGAUGCCUGUAGCGCCUCUGAGAGCCCCCAGUGCCCUGGUGGGGAAAUGGAGCGAGCACGUGGGCCCCAAAUGAACUCCAGGAAGAGAGCAGGCAUUAUCCACAGCGAUCAUGCUACCCAUUUCCAGUUUAAAGUGCUAUUCGCAUUCAGACCUCCAGCAACUGUUGAAGAGGAAGGGUGGUCUUCUGGCUGAGUCAUUACCCAGAGCUGUGAGACCUGAUUCAGCUGAAAUGAGAGCAGG
Long non-coding RNA from Cygnus olor (mute swan), 6204 nucleotides. RefSeq lists it as uncharacterized. The transcript is spliced from 7 exons. NCBI's taxonomy places the organism in Eukaryota, Metazoa, Chordata, Aves, Anseriformes, Anatidae. The record is from RefSeq and is a predicted model, not a curated record.